UAGGGAAUCUUCCACAAUGGACGCAAGUCUGAUGGAGCAACGCCGCGUGAGUGAAGAAGGUCCUCGGAUCGUAAAACUCUGUUGUUAGAGAAGAACACGAGUGAGAGUAACUGUUCAUUCGAUGACGGUAUCUAACCAGCAAGUCACGGCUAACUACGUGCCAG
RNAcentral lists this ribosomal RNA (164 nucleotides) under uncultured bacterium. Its description in RNAcentral is "partial 16S rRNA". It matches the Rfam family "Bacterial small subunit ribosomal RNA", at positions 355 to 511 of the family's 1533-position model. The record is from RNAcentral.